CGGACCGGCCCACCGGGAAUUCUCCCGGUCCUCCCGAUUAGCCAAUCCGGGCCUGUACUGAAGCUAAGCAGGGCUGAGCCUGGUCAGUACCUGGAUGGGAGACUACAUGGGAAAAUUAGGUUGCUGUUUCAA
Molecule: ribosomal RNA, 132 nt
Filed under: Danio rerio (zebrafish)
Lineage: Eukaryota; Metazoa; Chordata; Actinopteri; Cypriniformes; Danionidae
Source: RNAcentral